AUUGAACGCUGGCGGCAUGCUUUACACAUGCAAGUCGAACGGCAGCGCGGGCUUCGGCCUGGCGGCGAGUGGCGAACGGGUGAGUAAUGCAUCGGAACGUGCCCAGUAGUGGGGGAUAGCCCGGCGAAAGCCGGAUUAAUACCGCAUACGACCUGAGGGUGAAAGCGGGGGACCGAAAGGCCUCGCGCUAUUGGAGCGGCCGAUGUCGGAUUAGCUAGUUGGUGGGGUAAAGGCUUACCAAGGCGACGAUCCGUAGCUGGUCUGAGAGGACGACCAGCCACACUGGGACUGAGACACGGCCCAGACUCCUGCGGGAGGCAGCAGUGGGGAAUUUUGGACAAAGGGGGCAACCCUGAUCCAGCCAUGCCGCGUGCGGGAAGAAGGCCUUCGGGUUGUAAACCGCUUUUGUUCGGGAAGAAAGCCUCUGGGCUAAUACCCCGGGGGGAUGACGGUACCGGAAGAAUAAGCACCGGCUAACUACGUG
Molecule: ribosomal RNA, 484 nt
Filed under: uncultured bacterium
Lineage: Bacteria
Description: partial 16S ribosomal RNA
Rfam family: Bacterial small subunit ribosomal RNA
Source: RNAcentral